Molecule: ribosomal RNA, 253 nt
Filed under: uncultured bacterium
Lineage: Bacteria
Description: partial 16S ribosomal RNA
Rfam family: Bacterial small subunit ribosomal RNA
Source: RNAcentral
UACAGAGGUCCCAAGCGUUGUUCGGAUUCACUGGGCGUAAAGGGCGCGUAGGCGGCUCAUGAAGGCUGUGGUGAAAGUCCGGGGCUCAACCUCGGAUCGGCCGUGGCGACUCGUGGGCUGGAGCACUGUAGAGGCGGGUGGAAUUCCGGGUGUAGCGGUGGAAUGCGUAGAGAUCCGGAAGAACACCAGUGGCGAAGGCGGCCCGCUGGGCAGUGGCUGACGCUGAGGCGCGACAGCGUGGGGAGCAAACAGG